UACGAAGGGUGCAAGCGUUACUCGGAAUUACUGGGCGUAAAGCGUGCGUAGGUGGUUUGUUAAGUCUGAUGUGAAAGCCCUGGGCUCAACCUGGGAAUUGCAUUGGAUACUGGCAGGCUAGAGUGCGGUAGAGGAUGGCGGAAUUCCCGGUGUAGCAGUGAAAUGCGUAGAGAUCGGGAGGAACAUCUGUGGCGAAAGCGGCUCACUGGACCAUUACUGACGCUGAGGCACGAAAGCUAGGGGAGCAAACAGG
Molecule: ribosomal RNA, 253 nt
Filed under: uncultured bacterium
Lineage: Bacteria
Description: partial 16S ribosomal RNA
Rfam family: Bacterial small subunit ribosomal RNA
Source: RNAcentral